UGAGCUGCUACUAGGUUUCUUAGUUAUUGAUGUAGCCCAUGUGUGCUUCUUUACAUUUGUAUGGCACGGCUGAAUGGAGAACUAAAUGCUUCUUUCUUAAUUUGCUAGGUGUGUUGGGCCGUGUAUUUCCUUCUGCAGACCUUAUCCAAUUCACGUGUUGCUUCCUUCUCAAUACCGUGACAGCACCAUUGGUUGCAAUGUUUUUUUAUUCUCAAAGCAAAGCAAGUCGUGAU
This 233-nucleotide long non-coding RNA is filed under the name Vigna radiata. Its description in RNAcentral is "long non-coding RNA (VRAD_LNC016639)". The record is from RNAcentral. Lineage: Eukaryota; Viridiplantae; Streptophyta; Magnoliopsida; Fabales; Fabaceae.